Triticum aestivum (bread wheat) is the source of this 113-nucleotide non-coding RNA. The record is from Rfam. NCBI's taxonomy places the organism in Eukaryota, Viridiplantae, Streptophyta, Magnoliopsida, Poales, Poaceae.
CAACUACUCCCUCUGUCCCAAAUUUCUUGUCUUAGAUUUGUCUAGAUACGGAUGUAUCUAAUCCUUAUCUAGACAAAUCUAAGACAAGAAUUUUGGGACGGAGGGAGUACUUU